RNAcentral lists this ribosomal RNA (490 nucleotides) under uncultured bacterium. RNAcentral's name for it is "partial 16S ribosomal RNA". It matches the Rfam family "Bacterial small subunit ribosomal RNA", at positions 28 to 507 of the family's 1533-position model. The record is from RNAcentral.
GAUGAACGCUAGCUACAGGCUUAACACAUGCAAGUCGCGGGGCAGCAUGGGGGUUGCUUGCAAUCCCCGAUGGCGACCGGCGCACGGGUGAGUAACGCGUAUCCAACCUGCCCUUCACCACGGGAUAACCCGGCGAAAGUCGGACUAAUACCGUAUGUUGUCCAUUGACGGCAUCCGAUUUGGACGAAAGGUUUGGCGGUGAAGGAUGGGGAUGCGUCCGAUUAGCUGGACGGCGGGGUGACGGCCCACCGUGGCGACGAUCGGUAGGGGUUCUGAGAGGAGGGUCCCCCACACUGGAACUGAGACACGGUCCAGACUCCUACGGGAGGCAGCAGUGAGGAAUAUUGGUCAAUGGGCGUAAGCCUGAACCAGCCAAGUAGCGUGCAGGAUGACGGCCCUAUGGGUUGUAAACUGCUUUUAUGCGGGGAUAAAGUGGCCCACGUGUGGGUUUUUGCAGGUACCGCAUGAAUAAGGACCGGCUAAUUCCGUG